GGGACGGUAGCAUAACGGCAAAUGCGCAAACAAACUCUUGUCUUCGAUCUCAGUUCGAAUCUGAGCCGUUCCA
Non-coding RNA from Pluteus cervinus, 73 nucleotides. Lineage: Eukaryota; Fungi; Basidiomycota; Agaricomycetes; Agaricales; Pluteaceae. The record is from the annotation of a GenBank genome assembly.